AAGACUAUACUUUCAGAGAUCAUUUCUAUAGUGACUGACUAGGAAAUGUGAUUUGAAAGUGAUGCGUCUUCCUAGUCCUGAUGAAGAGCGGUGAUGUAUUCUUCUGAACUUGAAUCAGAUUCAAGCUAAUGAUUUCUAUCACUUGCUUGAGUCGUUGAUGAAUGUUCUCUGUUUUUUAUGAAGCCUGAGACGAAGAGUACGUGAUCAGAGUGAU
Molecule: small nucleolar RNA, 214 nt
Organism: Hemibagrus wyckioides
Lineage: Eukaryota; Metazoa; Chordata; Actinopteri; Siluriformes; Bagridae
Product: small nucleolar RNA U3
Exons: 1
Source: RefSeq, a predicted model, not a curated record